GACCCCCGGGAUAAGAGGGAUUUGAACCACCCGUGGCCUCAUCAAGGUUAUGAGCCUUGCGAGCUACCAAGCUGCUCUAGCG
RNAcentral lists this transfer RNA (82 nucleotides) under Selaginella bisulcata. RNAcentral's name for it is "tRNA-Met". Lineage: Eukaryota; Viridiplantae; Streptophyta; Lycopodiopsida; Selaginellales; Selaginellaceae. The record is from RNAcentral.